Molecule: unclassified non-coding RNA, 1078 nt
Filed under: Hevea brasiliensis (rubber tree)
Lineage: Eukaryota; Viridiplantae; Streptophyta; Magnoliopsida; Malpighiales; Euphorbiaceae
Source: RNAcentral
AAUUAACUAGGUGAUAGAGAAACCAUUUCCCAAUUUAACAAACUCAAGCUUUUCUGAGGAUCAUAUAUCAGAGUAGAAAUGGCCAAUGGGUAGCAAAUACCAGAGAAUUAGAUAUGGACUGGACCCACUAAUGUCUAAUUACAUGGAAAGUUUACAAAAGCUUGUAUACAUUGUUCUUCCUAUAUAUCAGAAACUCACCUUCAAGACAACAAAGAAGAUUCACUAAAGAUUUCUCGGUCGACCCAUUGAAGUGCUCCAAAAGAUCAGAAAGGGUAACCCCAUCAUCAGAGUUCUUGAGCCAGCUCAAUAUGGAUUCUUCCGUGGCAUCCAGAGCCCUAAAACUUUCUUUUUCUGCUGCUUCGACCUUCUGUCGUUUUGUAUGAAUGAGAAAAUCACCUUCACUGGAUGCAGCUUCUUUCCUACUCUCAGUCAGGAGAUGAGAUUCUGCUCCUUCAGUCUCCCCAGGAGAAGAAGCACAAGUGAUGCCAGGUGCUUCACCUAUGUCAUCAUCUCCUUGCAUGUCAGAUUGAAUAAUAGAGUUCUGUAGUACUUCUGAUAUUUCAGUCAAACAUUCAUCUCCAUUGCAACUUUGUUCAGAUUUGUAUGAAAAUACUUCAGCUGAUACUCCUGCCUCUUGCAUCGUCAAGUACGCCUUUAUCUGACCAUAAUUUACCUCUUCUGGUAACUCAGUUUUUAUCGGCUUCAAUUUUUCCCUACCAACUUUUGAGACAGCAUUCUGGAUACUUAAGAAUGUCUCUCUUGUAAGCCCAGUCUCCUCACAAAACCUAGUCCAAUUCAUUUUGCAUCCCUCUCGUGCAGCUUCGAGUAUAUACUCUAGCACAGUUUGUUCCUUUAUUGCUACUGCUCUACUAGGAAAAUUUGCAAUUUCUUUGAACGUGAGACCAUCCUCAUGCCACAUCUUCCAUGCUUCAAAUUUUGCUGGUGUUAACUUUUUAUUGAUUGGAACUGUGAGAGUCUUACUGGGAACAGAGGUUUGACUGGUUGGUUCCCCAUCCAGAGAAAGAUUGCAAGCUUCUGAUAGAUGCUUAAUACUUAGAAGAAAAUUGUCCCCAUACAG